Molecule: long non-coding RNA, 235 nt
Filed under: Phaseolus vulgaris (common bean)
Lineage: Eukaryota; Viridiplantae; Streptophyta; Magnoliopsida; Fabales; Fabaceae
Description: long non-coding RNA (PVUL_LNC004452)
Source: RNAcentral
GCAUUCUUUGUUUAAAUUAAUCCACUAGCCAUAUUAGCCUACCUUUAUGAUAAUCCAUUUGUUAGCCCUUUGAGCCUAUAGCCUUUUUCUUAUUUUUAACCCUCAUUACAAGCCUCAAAACAAGAAAAACCAUGUUUGUCUCUACAUUAGAAGAUAAAGGAGCUUUGAAAUUAUUUGGGAAUAGAUUUUUGAAUAAGUGUGGGGGUGUAUGUCAUUUCCAUAGUUUACCUCUUCG